CUACGGUUGCUGCAGUGGGGAAUAUUGCACAAUGGACGAAAGUCUGAUGCAGCAACGCCGCGUGGAGGAUGACACAUUUCGGUGCGUAAACUCCUUUUAUAUAGGAAGAUAAUGACGGUACUAUAUGAAUAAGCGCCGGCUAACUCCGUGCCAGCAGCCGCGGUAAUACGGAGGGCGCAAGCGUUACUCGGAAUCACUGGGCGUAAAGAGCGUGUAGGCGGAUAGAUAAGUCAGGAGUGAAAUCCUAUGGCUCAACCAUAGAACUGCUCUUGAAACUGUCUAUCUAGAAUAUGGGAGAGGUAGAUGGAAUUUCUGGUGUAGGGGUAAAAUCCGUAGAGAUCAGAAGGAAUACCGAUUGCGAAGGCGAUCUACUGGAACAUUAUUGACGCUGAGACGCGAAAGCGUGGGGAGCAAACAGGAUUAGAUACCCUGGUAGUC
Molecule: ribosomal RNA, 438 nt
Filed under: uncultured bacterium
Lineage: Bacteria
Description: partial 16S ribosomal RNA
Rfam family: Bacterial small subunit ribosomal RNA
Source: RNAcentral